RNAcentral lists this long non-coding RNA (2042 nucleotides) under Mus musculus (house mouse). RNAcentral describes it as "long non-coding RNA chr18:49874812-49876854". The record is from RNAcentral. Lineage: Eukaryota; Metazoa; Chordata; Mammalia; Rodentia; Muridae.
UGCUGCCUAUAUAUGCACACAUAUGGAUAUUGGAAUCCUACCAAGGUCAUUAAAAGAAUGAUUCUCUGUCCUUCAGAAACUUAACCAAUUACUCAUAGCUCCUCAAUAAGGAGUAGUACCUAGAUACUAUCUACUCACCACUGCCAGAAUUUCAGCUGUUUUGAUUUUAUGCAAGUAACCACGGGUGAUUUUGUUCAUGAGUGUGAUAGCCAUGUCAUAUCCAGAAUAUAGCAUUUCACAAAGCUCCCCCUCCUCCAGCUGACUCUUAGAGUCUCCUGCCUUCUCUUCAGUGAUGUUCCAAGAGCUGAGAAGAGGGAACUUGAUAUGGGCUGAGCACACAGUCUCUUAUUAGCACUUGGACCAAUUGUGCAUCUUUCCAUAGACUGCUGCCCGCUGCAAAAGGAGGUGUCUCUGACCAAGGUUCAGAGUAGCCUAGGUUAUAGAUAUAAACAGAGAUUUAACCACAUGACCACCUAAUAAAAUAAUAAUAGCAGCUACUACGCCUGUUCUUUUGACUAGGAUUAUUGUACCAGACAUGAAAUGUCUUCCUUUGUAGCAGACUUCAGAUCCUAUCAGUAAGCAUUUAGUUACCCUCGCUGAUAGGUCAGUAUUCUGACAAGCAUGGUCCAGAGUUGUCUUGUCUCACCCAGUAUCCUGCACAGCAUCCUCAUACUGUGCAAGCUCACCACCAUAGAGGAAUUUUUCUACUCAGUUUUAGACUGAUUCCUCUCUAUCCUAAACCAGUGUGUACAGUGUCUAUUUCAUUGUGGUUGGUCAUCAAGUGCAUCAUCAUGUACUAUUUCGUAGACUUCUAAAGCCUUUCUGACAAUGACUAGUAGGGAGGUAUACCAUACCUUGCACUGUCAUUUUUAUUUAAUAGACUAUAUAUUCUGGGAGUGACAUUGUUCUCAUAUGUAGGAUAAGUGCAUUUGAUCUCUUUUAAGUUGGUUUUUGACAAUUAGCUUACUAACCAGUGUGUUUCAUGCUCAGCUUUUCGCAUGGGUUCUAAAUACUCAACCUCAGAUCCUUAUACUUGUACAUCAGACACUGAGUCAACUGAGCCAUCUCCCCAGCCCAGUUACCUACAUUUUUAAAUAAAUUUGGUAAUAUGUAGUUAUAAUCAUUUGUCUACUAUUGCAUAUAUUUGAUUUUAUACAAUGAAAAGUUGAGUAGCUGUAAUAGAGAACUUACAUCUGCCAACGCCUGAAGUCGUUAUCACUGUCCCUUUAAAUUUGACAAUCUAUUUUGGGAAACUAAUAGAAUAUAUAAUUUGUUUAAGUCUGAUAAAAUAUUAAGUUUCACUUAGGAAUAAAUUAGUGCUAUAAAUAUACUUCAGUAUUAUAAGACUUUGGGGAUAUAAACUAAAUAUUUAGAAGACAGCUUAAUGAUAUGUCAGGUUACCGAAAUAAUAUCAGUUCUCCACUCGGGACUAACAGUCACCAUCACCAUGUGGUUUUGAUGUGGUUUUCAGUACUAAUAAGAGAAGUCUCUAUUUCUAGUGAUUAGUGGUCAACGUAGACCCAUGGCUGCACCAAGUACUGAUAGUAAAUGGUAGAUGAGUGUUCAAAUCUAAGAAAUAUAUUAUCUCCCCCUAAAGCUCAGGGAAAAUUGCAGAAGGAGGCGGGGUGUAAUAUAAAACUAGCAGAUAGGAAGAAGGCUGCGGAAUGUCAUUCUGGGCAAGAUAAAUUUUUGGCAAUUGUAGGUGCCCAUACAGGGUUUGUAUAUAAAUGAGUCUCUCAUCAAGUCAAGCAUGGAUGGAGGAGGGACUGUUUUCCACUGAUAGGGUCAGAAAGGGGAUAUCAUUGCCUUCAAGGGCUCCAAUGGUAAUUUUAAUCCACUAGUGAAAUAGAUGGCCUUCUUUAAUAAGCUAGAUGGAUCAAAAAACAAAAUUGAAAGCCGUGAGCCUUGGAAAGACACUGGUGAAUGUGAGUGGGGAGUGGGUGGUAGUGAUGGAAGGGAGACAAGAGAAGGUGAGGAGUAUGAGGGAGAGAAUCAGAAUGUAUUAUAGUACAAGUGUACAAUUUAUCAAAUAAUAAAUUAAU